This 25-nucleotide ribosomal RNA is filed under the name Dendrobium moniliforme. RNAcentral describes it as "partial 26S ribosomal RNA". The record is from RNAcentral. Lineage: Eukaryota; Viridiplantae; Streptophyta; Magnoliopsida; Asparagales; Orchidaceae.
GUGACCCCAGGAUGGGCGAGGCCAC